RNAcentral lists this ribosomal RNA (480 nucleotides) under uncultured bacterium. RNAcentral describes it as "bacterial SSU rRNA". It matches the Rfam family "Bacterial small subunit ribosomal RNA", at positions 50 to 518 of the family's 1533-position model. The record is from RNAcentral.
AAUACAUGCAAGUCGAACGGUAAGGCCGCCUGUAGCAAUACGAGGGGGUACACGAGUGGCGCACGGGUGCGUAACGCGUAUGCAACCUGCCCCCAACCGGGACAAAACAGCUGGAAACGGCUGCUAAUAUCCCAUGGUCACUCGGGAGGGCAUCCUCCUGGGUGUAAAGAUUCAUUGGUUGGGGAUGGGCAUGCGUAUUAUUAGGUAGUUGGCGGGGUAACGGCCCACCAAGCCGACGAUGAUUAGGGGUCCUGAGAGGGUUAUCCCCCACACUGGAACUGAGACACGGUCCAGACUCCUACGGGAGGCAGCAGUAGGGAAUAUUGGGCAAUGGGAGCAAUCCUGACCCAGCCAUGCCGCGUGAAGGAAGACGGUCCUAUGGAUUGUAAACUUCUUUUGCCGCAGAGUAACCGCGGGGACGAGUCCCCGCCUGAGAGUAUGCGGCGAAUAAGUAUCGGCUAACUCCGUGCCAGCAGCGGC